Molecule: unclassified non-coding RNA, 231 nt
Filed under: Hevea brasiliensis (rubber tree)
Lineage: Eukaryota; Viridiplantae; Streptophyta; Magnoliopsida; Malpighiales; Euphorbiaceae
Source: RNAcentral
AUUAUAAAAAGACAAGCAAAACUUUGAUAUAAAAGAUAAAUAGAACCGUGAUGUGACCAAUAAUUUUUCUUGUUUCUACUAAUAUUGCUUUUGUUUAUGGGUCUGGUUUCCAUAAUGGGUAUUUGUCUGUCUAUUUUAAUUUUUCUCUGUAUUCAAUAAAAUUUAGACAAGUCAUACUAUUUUUUUUAUCGGUUCAAAUCAGUGUAGAAGUUAGGAUAUGUAUUUUUUUAA